RNAcentral lists this ribosomal RNA (364 nucleotides) under Holopus alidis. RNAcentral's name for it is "partial 16S ribosomal RNA". The stretch from base 211 to 364 matches the Rfam family "Bacterial large subunit ribosomal RNA", at positions 2473 to 2626 of the family's 2925-position model. The record is from RNAcentral. Lineage: Eukaryota; Metazoa; Echinodermata; Crinoidea; Cyrtocrinida; Holopodidae.
UUAAAAUUAACUGUAAAAAGAUAAAACUCAAAGUUAAUAGAUAACCAAACACUAAAAAUUUUGAGCUUAAUAACAGAAAUUUUUGGUUGGGGCAACCGCAAAGAAAAACCUUUGUCUAAAAACUAACAAACAACACACAAGUUUAAAAAUCUUUAUGAAAAAUUAAAAUGAUCCAAAUAACAAUUGAUCAAGGAAAAAAGUUACCGCAGGGAUAACAGCGUUAUUUACUCUAAGAGUCCAUAUUGACGAGAAAGUUUGCGACCUCGAUGUUGGAUCAAGGCACCCAUGAAGUGCAGAAGCCUCAAAAGGUAGGUCUGUUCGACCUUUAAAGCCUUACGUGAUCUGAGUUCAGACCGACGCAAGU